This 497-nucleotide ribosomal RNA is filed under the name uncultured bacterium. RNAcentral describes it as "partial 16S ribosomal RNA". It matches the Rfam family "Bacterial small subunit ribosomal RNA", at positions 28 to 507 of the family's 1533-position model. The record is from RNAcentral.
GACGAACGCUGGCGGCGUGCCUAAUACAUGCAAGUUGAGCGCUGAAGGUUGGUACUUGUACCAACUGGAUGAGCAGCGAACGGGUGAGUAACGCGUGGGGAAUCUGCCUUUGAGCGGGGGACAACAUUUGGAAACGAAUGCUAAUACCGCAUAAAAACUUUAAACACAAGUUUUAAGUUUGAAAGAUGCAAUUGCAUCACUCAAAGAUGAUCCCGCGUUGUAUUAGCUAGUUGGUGAGGUAAAGGCUCACCAAGGCGAUGAUACAUAGCCGACCUGAGAGGGUGAUCGGCCAAAUUGGGAACGAGACACGGCCCAAACUCCUACGGGAGGCAGCAGUAGGGAAUCUUCGGCAAUGGACGAAAGUCUGAACGAGCAACGCCGCGUGAGUGAAGAAGGUUUUCGGAUCGUAAAACUCUGUUGGUAGAGAAGAACGUUGGUGAGAGUGGAAAGCUCAUCAAGUGACGGUAACUAACCAGAAAGGGACGGCUAACUACGUG